GCGAUGACCCCUGAUUUUGGCACACAUUUGAGGGAGUCGUGCCUCCCUCUUUGGAUAAAACCGAUUUCUUCAAUUUUGAGCAGCCAUGCAAAGAGGGCUUUCAAUUCGACGAUAGUAGAAAAAAAUCACCCCCGGUAAAGUUGGGUGAACACACGUCAGCGGAUUUUUCAAAUUUUCAAGCCCAAAAUUUACCCCAAAACAGUGGUUCGGAGGAUUUUAGAAACUCCAACGAGGAAAAAGCGAUUUUCCACGACACAAGUUAUUACCGUGCAGCCUCAUCCUUCGACCACACUUUCGAUUAUUUUCAUGACGAGGAUGAAUACUUGAUGCCACUGGAAAGACUUGACGAUGUAAGCACUACUGAAUCAACGAAUUUGUUUAACACUUUCAUCGAAGCGGAUAUUGCUCCAAUAGAACCAGAUACUGUUGAAACAACAUCUGCAAAUGAUUUGGAAAAUUCGGCUGAAACCCAAAAUGGGUAUGAGAUGAAUCCGAUUUUAACAUCGCAGAAACAUACUCCGGAAAAUUUAGAUGUAACUUUCUCACCUGCUCCAAAGACUAGCGGUGAGGUUGAGGUGUCCGAUGAAAUUUUCAGAAAAAUUCCACGGAAUUAUCGCAGGUUUGAUGAAAGUAAAUCUAAAUUAUCGAACGAAAAAACCUCGGAAUAUUCCAAGCAAGGCCUCGAAUCUGAUUCUUUUCGGCGAAGCUUAAAUUCUCCUGAGAUGUUCGGACACUGUACUUCUAGCGGAGAGGGGAUCCCUACUCAACUGAGUCUUGUAUCUAUUGCACCAGAAUCCGCAGAUCCAGAUGUAAUUGAAAGCAUCUAUGAUAAGAACUCGUAUUCAGGAAUGUUCAGUAGUGAACCUUCUUAUAUGUUGCUCAAUCUUGACAAAGAUUUGACCUUAAAACGGGUCAAAUGACUUCCUCGAACACCCACGCAUUCCUCACUGCUGUAAACCCUCAGCCUCUGAGUCCUGAAGUUUCAAGUACUUUUGAAAGUUCUAUCGCAGAAACGGGAAAGAAUGAAAAAUCUCGCAAGAUCAGUAGAGGAACACAUGACUUGCAUUCAGCCGCUGAAUCAAAACAAGAAACUGCCGAUAGUGAAGACAGUGAUUCCACUCAAAACACAAAUAGAAAUUCCAAGACUGAUCACGCCACCUCAAAUUUGAGUAGGUCAGCGCCUCAGUUUUCCGCUAGUGUAACGGACGAACUGAUUGCCAGUCAAAACAAAUCAAAGAGUCUUGAUGUAACUCUAAAUCCACUCGAUGUUAAGACAUAUCUUCCGGAUAAUAUCAGAUCUCUGCUGGGCGGUAUUAAUUUGAAAAACAUGAACAUGUCUGAAAUCUUUCGUAACGCGAGGAAGCGACUGUCAGCCUCAAAUCUGCGAUGGGGAAAAUUAGACGAUUUCAAACCGAGGGAAUUUGGUGCUUUUCUUGAGGAAGAUGCGGUUCCUAAAUGUGAGCUGACCUCUUCUGCACAAGUCACCGGAAAUGAGGCCUUGCAGGAAAACAUAGAGGAAAACCUGAACACAACUUUGCCGGAAAAAUCGCGCUGCAGCCAUACGAUAAGUUUAAAAGCUAAAAAUGAUUCCUCAAACGAUCAGCCCGUGCUGAAUUAUGCUGUGAGCGUAUCGUCUGAGGAAACCCCAAACAUUAAUGCGAACAUCUCAUAUGCCACCUCCAUGGUACCCCAAAAAGCCAACGCACCCUCAAAAAUUCGGCCUUCAGAGCCCGUUGCAACAAAUAAUGUUUUAGAAAGUAGAACCAGGGAGAAGACCCCGACUUAUUACCAAAACUUGCCCUACUCCCCUCGCUCCAUUCAGAAUACACCUUAUGCACCGAUUAUAGUCCACAACAUGCCGUUCUUCCCACGCAAUGUUCAAAACAUGCCUUUCGCCCCCAUAAACUCACAAACCCCUCAAACUCUAGAAGAAUCUCACAGCAUAGAUAAUGCUCAAAGUUCGAGCCCCAUACGAAUUGUUGGGGCCUCCGGUGCUGACGCGCUUACCUCUGGAUUCGCACCCAUUAACGUACAAAAUUUGCCAUAUUCGACUGCCAUCGCACAAGGAGUUUCUCAACGUAAAUUUUACGACGCAGAUUUACAGUCGACGACCUCUCACCCUGAAAAGGUGACCCUGGUUCGAAAUCCCUCAAAAGUACGUAAAAAUUUGACGAUAGGGGUCAACGACACUACGAGUGAGAGACAAUCUAAGAGUCAAGGAACAACAUCACUACCCAUGCCCUCUGAUGUGAGAGAGGGAGAAGAAUUUUCAACUUUUGGCCAGUCGGGUGUUUUCAUUCAAAGCCUGCCAUUCUCAGCUUCUGUCACUCAGGAAACUUUGGAGAACAGUGCCCCCUUGGAUGCGGGUCAUUUCGUUCAAAAUGUACCAAUCUCGCCCUCGCUAACUCAGGAGCGAAAAUUCUCGCGACAACCCUCAACUAAAUCUGCGCAAAGCAUUGCAUCAGUGGAUGAUGAUGUUUGUCAAACCAUGGCUGACAAGGAAAGCAAUGCUGAAAUUCCAAUUGAUUUCAUCGCUAACGAUCCAGGCGUUGAUCAUUUUAAAUCAAUAGCUGAAAAUGUGUUCUCAGCGCUUCAUGAAGGGAUCAAAGUGGUUGGCUCGAGGUAUCGACCAGCUACCCUCGAGGAAAAAAAUGAGUCUCAACAGAGGGUUCAUCCGUACCCGGAAAUUGAGACGUUUCCGGUGGUUGCUAAUUCAGGGGGACAUUUGGAGAGUGAUCCCCAAAAAAUCACCAAGUCCCAAGUAUUGCUGUUGGAAAACCAAAGUCCCACGGGAACCCAGACUCAGCCAAUGAUACAGUUUCUGUACCAAGUCUUCAACGUAGGGACGUGCAAUAAUCAAUAAAAAUGAUUUGA
Molecule: long non-coding RNA, 2874 nt
Filed under: Bemisia tabaci
Lineage: Eukaryota; Metazoa; Arthropoda; Insecta; Hemiptera; Aleyrodidae
Description: lncRNA ENSSSA2NGG013195
Source: RNAcentral